This 1343-nucleotide ribosomal RNA is filed under the name uncultured bacterium. RNAcentral's name for it is "bacterial SSU rRNA". It matches the Rfam family "Bacterial small subunit ribosomal RNA", at positions 28 to 1381 of the family's 1533-position model. The record is from RNAcentral.
GAUGGACGCUGGCGGCGUGCUUAACACAUGCAAGUCGAACGGAAAGGCUCCUGCUUGCAGGGGUACUCGAGUGGCGAACGGGUGAGUAACACGUGGGUGAUCUGCCCUGCACUUCGGGAUAAGCCUGGGAAACUGGGUCUAAUACCGGAUAGGACGAUGGUUUGGAUGCCAUUGUGGAAAGUUUUUCGGUGUGGGAUGAGCUCGCGGCCUAUCAGCUUGUUGGUGGGGUAAUGGCCUACCAAGGCGUCGACGGGUAGCCGGCCUGAGAGGGUGUACGGCCACAUUGGGACUGAGAUACGGCCCAGACUCCUACGGGAGGCAGCAGUGGGGAAUAUUGCACAAUGGGCGCAAGCCUGAUGCAGCGACGCCGCGUGGGGGAUGACGGCCUUCGGGUUGUAAACUCCUCUCGCUAGGGACGAAGCGCAAGUGACGGUACCUGGAGAAGAAGCACCGGCUAACUACGUGCCAGCAGCCGCGGUAAUACGUAGGGUGCGAGCGUUGUCCGGAAUUACUGGGCGUAAAGAGCUCGUAGGUGGUUUGUCGCGUCGUUUGUGUAAGCCCGCAGCUUAACUGCGGGACUGCAGGCGAUACGGGCAUAACUUGAGUGCUGUAGGGGAGACUGGAAUUCCUGGUGUAGCGGUGGAAUGCGCAGAUAUCAGGAGGAACACCGAUGGCGAAGGCAGGUCUCUGGGCAGUAACUGACGCUGAGGAGCGAAAGCAUGGGUAGCGAACAGGAUUAGAUACCCUGGUAGUCCAUGCCGUAAACGGUGGGCGCUAGGUGUGAGUCCCUUCCACGGGGUUCGUGCCGUAGCUAACGCAUUAAGCGCCCCGCCUGGGGAGUACGGCCGCAAGGCUAAAACUCAAAGGAAUUGACGGGGGCCCGCACAAGCGGCGGGGCAUGUGGAUUAAUUCGAUGCAACGCGAAGAACCUUACCUGGGCUUGACAUACACCAGACCGGGCCAGAGAUGGUCUUUCCCUUUGUGGUUGGUGUACAGGUGGUGCAUGGUUGUCGUCAGCUCGUGUCGUGAGAUGUUGGGUUAAGUCCCGCAACGAGCGCAACCCUUGUCUUAUGUUGCCAGCACGUUAUGGUGGGGACUCGUGAGAGACUGCCGGGGUUAACUCGGAGGAAGGUGGGGAUGACGUCAAAUCAUCAUGCCCCUUAUGUCCAGGGCUUCACACAUGCUACAAUGGUCGGUACAACGCGUCUGCGAGCCUGUGAGGGUGAGCUAAUCGCUGUAAAGCCGGUCGUAGUUCGGAUUGGGGUCUGCAACUCGACCCCAUGAAGUCGGAGUCGCUAGUAAUCGCAGAUCAGCAACGCUGCGGUGAAUACGCUCCCGGGCCU